UCCCCAUUAACUGGGGCAGUUUCCUGUGAAAAAUACAACACAGGAUAGGGGUUGCGCUCGUUAACCGACUGAACGGGACACCUCACGGCACGAGCUGACGACAACCGUGCAGCACCUGUCAUCUGGCUCCUUGCGGCACUCCCCUGUUUCCAGGGAAUUCCAGAGAUGUCAAACCUUGGUAAGGUUCUUCGCUUGUUGACGAAUUAAACCACACGCUCCACCGCUUGUGCAGGUCCCCGUCAAUUCCUUUGAGUUUUAAGCUUGCGCUCGUACUCCCCAGGCGGCCAACUUAACGCGUUAGCUUCGGUCCAAAGGAGGGUCGAUACUCCCCAAGACCUAGUUGGCAUCGUUUACGGCGUGGACUAC
This 366-nucleotide unclassified non-coding RNA is filed under the name uncultured bacterium. Its description in RNAcentral is "contains 16S-23S intergenic spacer region". The record is from RNAcentral.